UAGCUCAGUUGGUAAAGUAUCUGCCUGCAAUGCAGGAGACUCAGGUUUGAUUCCUGG
Bos taurus (domestic cattle) is the source of this 57-nucleotide non-coding RNA. The record is from Rfam. NCBI's taxonomy places the organism in Eukaryota, Metazoa, Chordata, Mammalia, Artiodactyla, Bovidae.